CGCGGAGUGGAGCAGCUAGGUAGCUCGUCGGGCUCAUAACCCGAAGGUCAUAGGUUCAAAUCCUGUCUCCGCAACCA
Molecule: transfer RNA, 77 nt
Filed under: Fusobacterium sp.
Lineage: Bacteria; Fusobacteriati; Fusobacteriota; Fusobacteriia; Fusobacteriales; Fusobacteriaceae
Also listed under: 4 other names
Description: tRNA-Met
Rfam family: tRNA
About the family: Transfer RNA (tRNA) molecules are approximately 80 nucleotides in length.
Source: RNAcentral